Suricata suricatta (meerkat) is the source of this 796-nucleotide long non-coding RNA. RefSeq lists it as uncharacterized. The transcript has 5 exons. NCBI's taxonomy places the organism in Eukaryota, Metazoa, Chordata, Mammalia, Carnivora, Herpestidae. The record is from RefSeq and is a predicted model, not a curated record.
UCCUAGAUGAAAUACUUUUCCCAAGCCUCUUUCUCCUUUGCAGGCUGAGCAGUACAAAGGGGGUGUGCUGCAGCUCCAGCUCCCAAAGGCGCCACCGACUCACAGCCUGUCCUGACCUGAGGGCUGAGCUGCUUUCUUCUUUCCUCUGGCUGUCCUUUCACCUUCUUGACAAGUAGGAUGAGGUGAAAGGAGCUGUCCUUGUCCUCACCGCCCGUCUCCACAUUCAGCUGAUUUCUCGGGGUCCAAGUGCUGUACUCUCUCUUCUCCGACACAACCCAGCCUCCUGUCUCUGAGAAGUUCCUGGAAACCACUAUUUUACUUUGUCUCUAUGAAUUGGACUGUGGACAGCUAUCUUUAAUGUAUGAGAUGUGUCUACCACCAUACUGGUACUCGACUAAUCACGGCAGAGGGGUGGUGCCCACACAAGAAAAGCUAUACACUCAGGCUUCCAGCUGAAGGCAAAGGGCUGCUGGAUCAAUGUGGGAAGGAACUAAAGGGUCAGACAAAAGUGCGAAGCACCAGACGCAAAGAGAAGUGGCUACACACUGGGAGAGGACUCACUGCCAUCCUGACAGCUGAACUUUCACAUGCCCAGAUAUUAGAUAAGAUUUCAGCUUACUAUAUGGAAAAUGUUCUAAAUAUUAGAGCUGUUCAAACAUGAAGAGAGAUGCCUGGGGAGGCAGUAAGCUCCCUGCUGGAGACAGUGUUAAAAUAAGGACUGCUUAGCCAAGAACUUAACCAUUAGGGGAUGAUGGUGGAAGAAGCCUUAUUCCAUACAAAGAGAGAAAUGGCAGGG